Molecule: transfer RNA, 82 nt
Filed under: Podarcis lilfordi (Lilford's wall lizard)
Lineage: Eukaryota; Metazoa; Chordata; Lepidosauria; Squamata; Lacertidae
Description: tRNA.Val
Source: RNAcentral
GACCCAUUGGCUGGAUAGCUCAGUUGGUUAGAGCGUAGUGCUGACAGUGCCAAGGUUGCAGGUUCAAUCCCUGAAUGGGACA